RNAcentral lists this ribosomal RNA (451 nucleotides) under uncultured bacterium. RNAcentral describes it as "partial 16S ribosomal RNA". It matches the Rfam family "Bacterial small subunit ribosomal RNA", at positions 28 to 507 of the family's 1533-position model. The record is from RNAcentral.
GAUGAACGCUGGCGGCGUGCCUAACACAUGCAAGUCGAGCGGCAGCGAGGGGUGCUUGCACCCUGUCGGCGAGCGGCGGACGGCUGAGUAACGCGUGGGAACGUGCCCCAAAGUGAGGAAUAACUGCCCGAAAGGGUAGCUAAUACCGCAUAUUAUCUUCGGAUCAAAGGAUUUAUCCGCUUUGGGAGCGGCUCGCGUCGGAUUAGGUAGUUGGUGAGGUAAUGGCUCACCAAGCCGACGAUCCGUAGCUGGUCUGAGAGGAUGACCAGCCAGACUGGAACUGAGACACGGUCCAGACUCCUACGGGAGGCAGCAGUGAGGAAUCUUCCACAAUGGGCGAAAGCCUGAUGGAGCAACGCCGCGUGCAGGACGAAGGCCUUCGGGCUGUAAACUGCUUUUAUAAGUGAGGAAUAUGACGGUAACUUAUGAAUAAGGAUCGGCUAACUACGUG